Molecule: ribosomal RNA, 477 nt
Filed under: uncultured bacterium
Lineage: Bacteria
Description: partial 16S ribosomal RNA
Rfam family: Bacterial small subunit ribosomal RNA
Source: RNAcentral
GAUUAACGCUGGCGGCGUGCAUAACACAUGCAAGUCGAACGAUGAAACUUUAAUGAACCCUUCGGGGAGAAUUAAAGCGGAUUAGUGGCGAACGGGUGAGUAACUCGUGAGUAACCUGCCUUACACAAGGGGAUAGCCUUUGGAAACGAAGAAUAAUACCCUAUAACACCAUAAAAGCACAUGCAAUUAUGGUCAAAGUGAUAGCGGUGUAAGAUGGACUUGCGUCUGAUUAGCUAGUUGGUGAGAUAAAAGCCCACCAAGGCAACGAUCAGUAGCCGGCUUGAGAGAGUGUACGGCAACAUUGGGACUGAGACACGGCCCAGACUCCUACGGGAGGCAGCAGUGGGGAAUUUUGCACAAUGGGGGAAACCCUGAUGCAGCGACGCCGCGUGAUUUAGAAGGCCUUCGGGUUGUAAAAAUCUUUUGUAUAGGAAGAAAAUGACAGUACUAUACGAAUAAGGUCCGGCUAAUUACGUG